UAAAGAAAUAGUUAAUGA
RNAcentral lists this small nuclear RNA (18 nucleotides) under Arabidopsis thaliana (thale cress). Its description in RNAcentral is "snRNA_04898". The record is from RNAcentral. Lineage: Eukaryota; Viridiplantae; Streptophyta; Magnoliopsida; Brassicales; Brassicaceae.